RNAcentral lists this ribosomal RNA (581 nucleotides) under Agrobacterium sp. EP_R_16. RNAcentral's name for it is "bacterial SSU rRNA". It matches the Rfam family "Bacterial small subunit ribosomal RNA", at positions 37 to 667 of the family's 1533-position model. The record is from RNAcentral. Lineage: Bacteria; Pseudomonadati; Pseudomonadota; Alphaproteobacteria; Hyphomicrobiales; Rhizobiaceae.
UGGCGGCAGGCUUACACAUGCAAGUCGAACGCCCCGCAAGGGGAGUGGCAGACGGGUGAGUAACGCGUGGGAACAUACCCUUUCCUGCGGAAUAGCUCCGGGAAACUGGAAUUAAUACCGCAUACGCCCUACGGGGGAAAGAUUUAUCGGGGAAGGAUUGGCCCGCGUUGGAUUAGCUAGUUGGUGGGGUAAAGGCCUACCAAGGCGACGAUCCAUAGCUGGUCUGAGAGGAUGAUCAGCCACAUUGGGACUGAGACACGGCCCAAACUCCUACGGGAGGCAGCAGUGGGGAAUAUUGGACAAUGGGCGCAAGCCUGAUCCAGCCAUGCCGCGUGAGUGAUGAAGGCCUUAGGGUUGUAAAGCUCUUUCACCGGAGAAGAUAAUGACGGUAUCCGGAGAAGAAGCCCCGGCUAACUUCGUGCCAGCAGCCGCGGUAAUACGAAGGGGGCUAGCGUUGUUCGGAAUUACUGGGCGUAAAGCGCACGUAGGCGGAUAUUUAAGUCAGGGGUGAAAUCCCAGAGCUCAACUCUGGAACUGCCUUUGAUACUGGGUAUCUUGAGUAUGGAAGAGGUAAGUGGAAU